Molecule: ribosomal RNA, 481 nt
Filed under: uncultured Polaromonas sp.
Lineage: Bacteria; Pseudomonadati; Pseudomonadota; Betaproteobacteria; Burkholderiales; Comamonadaceae
Description: bacterial SSU rRNA
Rfam family: Bacterial small subunit ribosomal RNA
Source: RNAcentral
CUACAAAGGAAUUGACGGGACCCGCACAAGCGUGGAUGAUGUGGUUUAAUUCGAUGCAACGCGAAAAACCUUACCUACCUUUGACAUGUACGGAACUCGCCAGAGAUGGCUUGGUGCUCGAAAGAGAACCGUAACACAGGUGCUGCAUGGCUGUCGUCAGCUCGUGUCGUGAGAUGUUGGGUUAAGUCCCGCAACGAGCGCAACCCUUGUCAUUAGUUGCUACAUUUAGUUGGGCACUCUAAUGAGACUGCCGGUGACAAACCGGAGGAAGGUGGGGAUGACGUCAAGUCCUCAUGGCCCUUAUAGGUAGGGCUACACACGUCAUACAAUGGAUGGUACAAAGGGUCGCCAACCCGCGAGGGGGAGCCAAUCCCAUAAAGCCAUUCGUAGUCCGGAUCGCAGUCUGCAACUCGACUGCGUGAAGUCGGAAUCGCUAGUAAUCGUGGAUCAGAAUGUCACGGUGAAUACGUUCCCGGGUCUU